RNAcentral lists this ribosomal RNA (437 nucleotides) under uncultured bacterium. RNAcentral's name for it is "bacterial SSU rRNA". It matches the Rfam family "Bacterial small subunit ribosomal RNA", at positions 338 to 791 of the family's 1533-position model. The record is from RNAcentral.
CCUACGGGAGGCAGCAGUGGGGAAUAUUGGUCAAUGGGGGAAACCCUGAACCAGCGACGCCGCGUGAGGGAAGAAGGUCUUCGGAUUGUAAACCUCUGUCUUUGGGGACGAAACAAUGACGGUACCCAAGGAGGAAGCCACGGCUAACUACGUGCCAGCAGCCGCGGUAAUACGUAGGUGGCAAGCGUUGUCCGGAAUUACUGGGUGUAAAGGGAGCGUAGGCGGGGCGGCAAGCAAAAUGUGAAACUGAUCGGCUCAACCGGUCAUUGCGUUUUGAACUGUCGCUCUUGAGUGAAGUAGAGGCAGGCGGAAUUCCUAGUGUAGCGGUGAAAUGCGUAGAUAUUAGGAGGAACACCAGUGGCGAAGGCGGCCUGCUGGGCUUUUACUGACGCUGAGGCUCGAAAGUGUGGGUAGCAAACAGGAUUAGAUACCCUGGU